UGGGGAAUCUUGCGCAAUGGGCGAAAGCCUGACGCAGCCAUGCCGCGUGAAUGAUGAAGGUCUUAGGAUUGUAAAAUUCUUUCACCGGGGACGAUAAUGACGGUACCCGGAGAAGAAGCCCCGGCUAACUUCGUGCCAGCAGCCGCGGUAAUACGAAGGGGGCUAGCGUUGCUCGGAAUUACUGGGCGUAAAGGGAGCGUAGGCGGACAUUUAAGUCAGGGGUGAAAUCCCGGGGCUCAACCUCGGAAUUGCCUUUGAUACUGGAUGUCUUGAGUAUGAGAGAGGUGUGUGGAACUCCGAGUGUAGAGGUGAAAUUCGUAGAUAUUCGGAAGAACACCAGUGGCGAAGGCGACACACUGGCUCAUUACUGACGCUGAGGCUCGAAAGCGUGGGGAGCAAACAGG
RNAcentral lists this ribosomal RNA (404 nucleotides) under uncultured prokaryote. RNAcentral describes it as "bacterial SSU rRNA". It matches the Rfam family "Bacterial small subunit ribosomal RNA", at positions 355 to 776 of the family's 1533-position model. The record is from RNAcentral. RNAcentral also lists the same sequence under 1 other name.